Molecule: ribosomal RNA, 253 nt
Filed under: uncultured bacterium
Lineage: Bacteria
Description: partial 16S ribosomal RNA
Rfam family: Bacterial small subunit ribosomal RNA
Source: RNAcentral
UACGAAGGGGGCUAGCGUUGCUCGGAAUCACUGGGCGUAAAGCGCACGUAGGCGGACUCUUAAGUCAGGGGUGAAAUCCUGGAGCUCAACUCCAGAACUGCCUUUGAUACUGGGAGUCUUGAGUUCGGGAGAGGUGAGUGGAACUGCGAGUGUAGAGGUGAAGUUCGUAGAUAUUCGCAAGAACACCAGUGGCGAAGGCGGCUCACUGGCCCGAUACUGACGCUGAGGUGCGAAAGCGUGGGGAGCAAACAGG